GUGAUAUUGUCGCUCAUAAACAUGGACGUGGCGACAAAUCCAACCAAACAGCCGGCACCCGUUAUUAUUAUCAAGUAGUACAAUCAAGAGUGCGUGAUUAUUAUUAUCAUGCGACGGAUGA
This 121-nucleotide non-coding RNA is filed under the name Fragilariopsis kerguelensis. Lineage: Eukaryota; Bacillariophyta; Bacillariophyceae; Bacillariales; Bacillariaceae. The record is from RNAcentral.